GAUGAACGCUGGCGGCGUGUCUAAUACAUGCAAGUCGAGCGAACGGACGAGAAGCUUGCUUCUCUGAUGUUAGCGGCGGACGGGUGAGUAACACGUGGAUAACCUACCUAUAAGACUGGGAUAACUUCGGGAAACCGGAGCUAAUACCGGAUAAUAUUUUGAACCGCAUGGUUCAAAAGUGAAAGACGGUCUUGCUGUCACUUAUAGAUGGAUCCGCGCUGCAUUAGCUAGUUGGUAAGGUAACGGCUUACCAAGGCAACGAUGCAUAGCCGACCUGAGAGGGUGAUCGGCCACACUGGAACUGAGACACGGUCCAGACUCCUACGGGAGGCAGCAGUAGGGAAUCUUCCGCAAUGGGCGAAAGCCUGACGGAGCAACGCCGCGUGAGUGAUGAAGGUCUUCGGAUCGUAAAACUCUGUUAUUAGGGAAGAACAUAUGUGUAAGUAACUGUGCACAUCUUGACGGUACCUAAUCAGAAAGCCACGGCUAACUACGUGCCAGCAGCCGCGGUAAUACGUAGGUGGCAAGCGUUAUCCGGAAUUAUUGGGCGUAAAGCGCGCGUAGGCGGUUUUUUAAGUCUGAUGUGAAAGCCCACGGCUCAACCGUGGAGGGUCAUUGGAAACUGGAAAACUUGAGUGCAGAAGAGGAAAGUGGAAUUCCAUGUGUAGCGGUGAAAUGCGCAGAGAUAUGGAGGAACACCAGUGGCGAAGGCGACUUUCUGGUCUGUAACUGACGCUGAUGUGCGAAAGCGUGGGGAUCAAACAGGAUUAGAUACCCUGGUAGUCCACGCCGUAAACGAUGAGUGCUAAGUGUUAGGGGGUUUCCGCCCCUUAGUGCUGCAGCUAACGCACUAAGCACUCCGCCUGGGGAGUACGACCGCAAGGUUGAAACUCAAAGGAAUUGACGGGGACCCGCACAAGCGGUGGAGCAUGUGGUUUAAUUCGAAGCAACGCGAAGAACCUUACCAAAUCUUGACAUCCUUUGACAACUCUAGAGAUAGAGCCUUCCCCUUCGGGGGACAAAGUGACAGGUGGUGCAUGGUUGUCGUCAGCUCGUGUCGUGAGAUGUUGGGUUAAGUCCCGCAACGAGCGCAACCCUUAAGCUUAGUUGCCAUCAUUAAGUUGGGCACUCUAAGUUGACUGCCGGUGACAAACCGGAGGAAGGUGGGGAUGACGUCAAAUCAUCAUGCCCCUUAUGAUUUGGGCUACACACGUGCUACAAUGGACAAUACAAAGGGCAGCGAAACCGCGAGGUCAAGCAAAUCCCAUAAAGUUGUUCUCAGUUCGGAUUGUAGUCUGCAACUCGACUACAUGAAGCUGGAAUCGCUAGUAAUCGUAGAUCAGCAUGCUACGGUGAAUACGUUCCCGGGUCU
This 1372-nucleotide ribosomal RNA is filed under the name uncultured bacterium. RNAcentral's name for it is "bacterial SSU rRNA". It matches the Rfam family "Bacterial small subunit ribosomal RNA", at positions 28 to 1381 of the family's 1533-position model. The record is from RNAcentral.